Molecule: ribosomal RNA, 468 nt
Filed under: uncultured bacterium
Lineage: Bacteria
Description: partial 16S ribosomal RNA
Rfam family: Bacterial small subunit ribosomal RNA
Source: RNAcentral
GACGAACGCUGGCGGCGUGCUUAACACAUGCAAGUCGAACGGAAAGGCCCUGCGCUUGUUGGGUGCUCGAGAGGCGAACGGGUGAGUAACACGCGAGUAACCUGCCCUUGUCUUUGGGAUAACUUCAGGAAACUGGGGCUCAUAUCGCAUAGGAGCUCCUGCUGCAUGGUGUGGGUUGGAAAGAUUCGGCGGUUCGGGAUGGACUCGCGGCUUAUCGGCUGGUUGGUGGAGUAGUGGCUGACCAAGGCUUUGACGGGUAGCCGGCCUGAGAGGUGGGACGGCCACAAUGGGCCUGCGAGACGGCCCAGACGCCUACGGGAGGCAGCAGUGGGAAAUAUUGCACAAUGGGGGGAAGCCUGAGGCAGCGACGCCGCGUGCGGGAUGACGGCUUUCGGGGUGUAAACCGCUUUCGCCUGUGACGAAGAGUGAGUGACGGUAAUGGGUAAAGAAGCAACGGCUAACUACGUG